Non-coding RNA from Anolis carolinensis (green anole), 72 nucleotides. NCBI's taxonomy places the organism in Eukaryota, Metazoa, Chordata, Lepidosauria, Squamata, Anolidae. The record is from Ensembl.
GUUAUUGUAGCUUACAAAUUAAAGCACGGCACUGAAAAUGCCACGAUGGGAAAUUAUGAUUCCCCAAAAACA